This 66-nucleotide transfer RNA is filed under the name Macrobrachium lanchesteri. RNAcentral describes it as "tRNA-Met". The record is from RNAcentral. Lineage: Eukaryota; Metazoa; Arthropoda; Malacostraca; Decapoda; Palaemonidae.
GAAAAGAUAAGCUAAACCUAAGCUUACGGGCUCAUACCCCGUCUAUGAAAUCUUUUUCUCUUUUCA